AGAAUUUACAUUCUCCUUGUCAUCACCUCUGCCUUCUCUCUAUCCUCAGCUUCUGUUUUGCAACAAAUGAGUAGACUUUUAUGUGUCUCAGAUUCAGAUCUCCUCGUAGAAGAGAACCUGCUUGGUCUAAUUAACCUUCAGUAUCCCUGUUUAAGAGCACUUCCUAUCACCCUGUUUUUUAUAUUACUGACCAGCCUUUAUUUAACUACUCUAGACCAAUCAUCUGGGACCAGAAGGGAACCCCAUUCAACAGUGGACUGGAAGUUUGUAACCAACCACACUGCCAAUCAUGUGUGACUGCAAGGACCCAGGAAGUCUGUCUGCCACGUGCCUCUCGGGAACCGCUGGAUAAUGUGCUCCAGAAGAACAAGAACACAGCACAUAACAGAUACGGUAAAUCCAAAAUAGAAAAAUGUCAGAAGUACAUUCUAAAGCAAGAACAAAAAACAAAAUCGACACAGGAAGAAAUAAUUAUGAAAUAGUUUUGGUCUCUGCAAUUUUAUAUAGGCAAUAAUGUAAACACUGAAUAAAAUUGUGUUAAGGGGACACCUGGGUGGCUUAGUUGGUUAAGCAUCCAACUCUUUAUUUCAGCCCAGGUCAUGAUCCCUUGGUUCCUGGGAUGGAGCCUGUGUCAGGCUCUGUGCUGACAGAGUGGAGCCUGCUUGGGAUUCUCUUUCCCUCUCUCGGCCCCUCCCCCACUCAUGCUUGCUCACUCUCUCUUGCCACCUUCCUCUCUCUCUCUGUCAAAAUAAAUAAACUUUUUAAAAAAUUGUAUUAUAAGGAUAAUAGAGGAAAGGAAACAAGAGGUUGUGAAUGCUGAAUUAUCACCUAAGAUAAUAGAAGGUCAGUAAAGUCUAAAAUUGACAAAUCUGGGACUAGAAAUAUUAACAUUUUAUCAAUGCCAGAAAAGGCAUCUUAAAAAAGAGAAGAGACUGGGAAGUGGCUUUCUUGUUGGCACUAUUUAAUUUUUAAAUUAAAAUAAUAAUGUCAUAUAAACCUAACAUUUUAAUGUCAAAAUACUGAUAAGAUGCAAUGGGUAAGUUUCCAACUCUUUUAGUCUGGGGGAACAAACACUUCUGUUGUAGAAUUUUCUCUUGCAAAGAUCCUCAGGAAUUGGAAACAAUGAGAGGUACAUGCUUAUUUAAUGUUCUCUUAGCCCACAGGAUAAGAAUCUUCAAGUUCAUAAUUCUUUAUGGAUACAAAUCUCAAGCGUAAAGCUUUCCCUAAGAAGAAAUCCUAUACCCAGUAUCUAGACUGUAGGACCUGGAGAAUGAAGGUGAACUGGACUCAAAGAUGUCCAUGGCCUUUAAAGUUUCACUGCAGCAUGAAACCAUCUAAAGAUAACUAGACCUGAGGUCACCCGAAGCCUGCAGAGUGCUAUUUAUAGCCAUAUGGUAGAUCCCAACUUUGUAUUUCAGUCAUAACAUAGUACAGUACCGAAGAUAUAUCAUAGUUCAAGUUUCUCCUCUUGAGAUCUAAACUGAAUUUAGGAUUCAGUGACUAGCCAGUGUAGAGAGAAAAAGACUCCGCUUCUAUCUCUCAACAAAUAUUUUCUCUGUGGUUGGUUAAGUUACCCACUACAGAAUUUGCAGGCAAAUUCUAAUAUGAAUUAGUCUAAAAACACUAAUAUGACAGAUUUCCUCACUUAGGUUUACUAGUGUUUUUAAGGACUUUGGAGUGGCUAAUGACCCCAUAGAAGCACUCCUCUGAAGAAAACCGUAUUUUUCCAAAUCAUAAGUUUCCAAAUAUAAGUUAGGCUGCAGCAAUGCAGGCUAUCUUAUGAACUUGCUUUGUGCAUGAUUGCAUUACUACUGUGAUACCCUUGGUACUUAAGUCUGGGGGAAAGUACUUCUCUAACAAAAGACCAGUUUCUUAGUUUUCCCAUGUCUGUCCCCAUAGUUCCAUGGGAUUUUAAUCCACUCAGUACCCAUAUCUUCCUUUUAGGAGGAGACUAACAUCUACUCUAGAGUCAUGUAAAGCAACCAAUGCUCUUGAUAUUUUCCCAAGAGUUGAAGAAAAAUUUUUAUUAGCAGAAGGUCUCUGGUUUUAUGCCACAAUAGUCUUCCCACAGUACUUUGUGGAAGUAAAUAAUCCAGCCUCCUUCUCCUGUUUCAGUUUUCAAAAAUGGUAAAAAUGUCACAAAUGGUAUCUCUCAAGAUUUUGAAUCUAAACCUGAAACUCCCAGGAAUACUCUCAGCCAUCUAUUCUCUCAGCGUAAAAUGUGCUCUAGGACCACUUGGAUUGCUAUCACUGGGGCGCUUACUACAGAUGCACAUUUCUGGUCCCUCCCGGAUUUACUGAAUCAGAAUUUCUAAAGAGGACCAAGAAACAGAAUUUCUACUAUCAACCUAGAAGAUUCCUUUCCUACACCAACAGAAUUCUACUUCUUUAAUAAUGGGUUGUUGACUUUUAUUUAUCAAAGGUUACUGUGAGACACAAAUAAAAUCUAUUUUUUUAGUGCU
This 2462-nucleotide long non-coding RNA is filed under the name Suricata suricatta (meerkat). RNAcentral's name for it is "lncRNA (ENSSSUG00005018240.1)". The record is from RNAcentral. Lineage: Eukaryota; Metazoa; Chordata; Mammalia; Carnivora; Herpestidae.